GGCAGCCUUGCCUACCAGGUAGGACUAGUACUCCAAACACACACGUACACAUGCAUGCACCGGGCAAAGUUCACUGACGACCCGAUCCACACUGAUCACCUCACCAACCAACUGACGUGUCUACGUUUCUGCAGACAUGCCCAUCGCGAGGAAGGUGUCGCUGCAGAGGUUCCUGGAGAAGAGGAAGAACAGGAUCGUCGUGGCGGAGCCACUGCCGGAGUCGGAGAAGAAGGAGGCGGAGUCGAGCAAGCGUGCCAAGAAAGACGAUGGCGGCGCGUCGUGGCUCCAGGUGAACCCCACUCUCAGCCUGUGAGCCGAAGAAACUGAAGAUAGCUGGAUCAAACAAGGAAAAAUUAAUUACUACUACUAGUAGUACUGUAUUGAUUUACCAUUUG
RNAcentral lists this long non-coding RNA (395 nucleotides) under Oryza sativa (Asian cultivated rice). RNAcentral's name for it is "long non-coding RNA (OSAT_LNC000502)". Lineage: Eukaryota; Viridiplantae; Streptophyta; Magnoliopsida; Poales; Poaceae. The record is from RNAcentral.